CCCAUUGGGGGUGUGACCACUUCCCUGGUGUUGAUGGCCCUGGCUUCUUGGGGUGAACAAGACAGUGACAUGAUGGAAAGCGUGAGGGAUUUGGUCUGACCUGGAUUUGAGUUUUAAUUCUCCCGUGUGCCAGCUGUGUGUUUCCGGACUGCACAUUUCACCUUUCUGAGCCCUUGGUUUUUCUUCUCUCAAAAAAGGACAAAGUAAUGUUUAAUAGGAUCAAAUUAAAUAAUAGUUCUAAAGUAUCUAGAGAGGGUGUAGUCCGUGAUGGGAAGACUGAGCCACGGAGCUUCCCACCAGUUCCCCAGGGCCUGUCCCAGCGGUGGUGGACACCAAGCCGAUAGAAGCAAGGAGGUGCCUCCACCUUCCUUGGGAAAAGAUCCGGACCCUCCUCGCCUUCCUGCCCCACCCAUCCCCGUCACUAUGGCAACCACGCAGGCACCUGCAGGCCAUAGAUUUAUUUGACUCUGAGGACAACCCACCUCCUGGAAAGCAAACUGAGGCUCAGAGAAACCAUGUGGUUCGCCAGCAAGGAAUUAUAGAGAGGCUUCUUUGACCUGUCUGGCUGCAGAGCGGGGCUCUUUCUAUGAGACCUGGAGAGCAUUAAGCAUCACCAAAUGGCAAGGACCUUGGAUGCCAACAUUUGGACAGUGUUGCAGGAAUUAGCUGGCCCAUUAAAUUCAGGGCAAGAAGCAUAAGAGUCCAACCUGGGCACUGUAUGAUAAGAAGCCCAAUCCAGGUGAGCAGCUAGCUGUUGUGAACUCCUAUGUGCCAAACAACAUGGCAUCAACAUCUGGCAGAUGGCAGCGCUGGAGCCCAGAUGGGGAAACAGGCUGGAAUCGGCUGGCAGAAGGUCCCCAGUGAUGGACUGAGAUUCUUGACCUAGGGUCCUUGAAGCUUCUUGGUGGACUUCAGUGGCCUGAGAGUCCCCUAAAAUUGCAGAAAACAUUUUGGCUGGACAUGAAUUACUGCUCUAGUACAUUUCUCUCAUCUUCCCCCACAUCCCUAUUUUAUAGAAGGGAAAACUGAGGGGCACCAUGAUUUGCCCAAAGUUCUAUAGCAAUUCAGAGUAAGAACCACAGAUUCAAGGAGGGAGAAUUCUUCCAGAGGUGCCCAGGGCAGUCAAGUAGGGUGGACAGGCUGUUCAAUGCAUAACCCCAGGGGACAUUCUUAAGGAC
Chinchilla lanigera (long-tailed chinchilla) is the source of this 1178-nucleotide long non-coding RNA. RefSeq lists it as uncharacterized. The transcript has 3 exons. Lineage: Eukaryota; Metazoa; Chordata; Mammalia; Rodentia; Chinchillidae. The record is from RefSeq and is a predicted model, not a curated record.